CUCUCCUCUCCCUCAUCUCCCAGUGAGGACAGUUUUCCUUCAUCAGGCUGGAAACAGACUCACUUCUGUGUUCAGGAUCUGACGACGCUUCCUGUGGCCGCCGCCCCCCCCGGUCUAGAUGUGAGGCGUGGCCUCUGCGUUACGUCCAGGUGUGAGGCGUGGCCUCUGCGUUACGUCCAGGUGUGAGGCGU
Molecule: long non-coding RNA, 191 nt
Organism: Seriola aureovittata
Lineage: Eukaryota; Metazoa; Chordata; Actinopteri; Carangiformes; Carangidae
Exons: 3
Source: RefSeq, a predicted model, not a curated record